RNAcentral lists this long non-coding RNA (253 nucleotides) under Rosa chinensis. Its description in RNAcentral is "sRNA RchiOBHm_Chr7g0193461". The record is from RNAcentral. Lineage: Eukaryota; Viridiplantae; Streptophyta; Magnoliopsida; Rosales; Rosaceae.
CCUCUCUCCUCCCCCCCGAGCUCUCUCUUCCUCCGGUUCGGCGAUUUUCCUUCCUCCUCCGAUUGCCGGCGAUUCCGGCCACCCCAGGACGUGCCACCGGUCAUCCCAGGUUCGCCUCCUCCCUCCGAGCACGCCUACAUCCUUGGUUUUCCACGAUUUGGCCGGAAAACCACGGAUCGAACGAAAGACUCCUCCGGCUGCAGUUGACGAUUUCCGGCUAUUCCGGCCACCUCCGGCCCCCAUCUCUCUGUCG